Molecule: ribosomal RNA, 492 nt
Filed under: uncultured bacterium
Lineage: Bacteria
Description: partial 16S ribosomal RNA
Rfam family: Bacterial small subunit ribosomal RNA
Source: RNAcentral
AGUGAACGCUGGCGGUAGGCCUAACACAUGCAAGUCGAACGGCAGCACAGUAAGAGCUUGCUCUUACGGGUGGCGAGUGGCGGACGGGUGAGGAAUACAUCGGAAUCUACUUUUUCGUGGGGGAUAACGUAGGGAAACUUACGCUAAUACCGCAUACGACCUACGGGUGAAAGCAGGGGAUCUUCGGACCUUGCGCGAUUGAAUGAGCCGAUGUCGGAUUAGCUAGUUGGCGGGGUAAAGGCCCACCAAGGCGACGAUCCGUAGCUGGUCUGAGAGGAUGAUCAGGCAGCGUGGAACUGUGACACGGCCCAGACUCCUACGGGAGGCAGCAGUGGGGAAUAUUGGACAAUGGGCGAAAGCCUGAUCCAGCCUUACCGCGUGGGUGAAGAAGGCCUUCGUGUUGUAGAGCCCUUUUGUUGGGAAAGAAAAGCAGCAGGUUAAUACCCCGCUGUUCUGACGGUACCCAAAGAAUAAGCACCGGCUAACUUCGUG